This 369-nucleotide ribosomal RNA is filed under the name uncultured bacterium. Its description in RNAcentral is "bacterial SSU rRNA". It matches the Rfam family "Bacterial small subunit ribosomal RNA", at positions 509 to 881 of the family's 1533-position model. The record is from RNAcentral.
CAGCAGCCGCGGUAAUACGUAGGUGGCGAGCGUUAUCCGGAAUUAUUGGGCGUAAAGAGGGAGCAGGCGGCACUAAGGGUCUGUGGUGAAAGAUCGAAGCUUAACUUCGGUAAGCCAUGGAAACCGUAGAGCUAGAGUGUGUGAGAGGAUCGUGGAAUUCCAUGUGUAGCGGUGAAAUGCGUAGAUAUAUGGAGGAACACCAGUGGCGAAGGCGACGAUCUGGCGCAUAACUGACGCUCAGUCCCGAAAGCGUGGGGAGCAAAUAGGAUUAGAUACCCUAGUAGUCCACGCCGUAAACGAUGAGUACUAAGUGUUGGGAGUCAAAUCUCAGUGCUGCAGUUAACGCAAUAAGUACUCCGCCUGAGUAGU